GGGGAAUUUUCCGCAAUGGGCGAAAGCCUGACGGAGCAAUACCGCGUGAGGGAUGACUGCCUAUGGGUUGUAAACCUCUUUUUUCAGGGAGGAAUAAAUGACGUGUACCUGAAGAAUAAGCAUCGGCUAACUCCGUGCCAGCAGCCGCGGUAAGACGGAGGAUGCAAGUGUUAUCCGGAAUCACUGGGCGUAAAGCGUCUGUAGGUGGUUUAAUAAGUCAACUGUUAAAUCUUGAGGCUCAACCUCAAAACCGCAGUCGAAACUAUUAGACUAGAGUAUAGUAGGGGUAAAGGGAAUUUCCAGUGGAGCGGUGAAAUGCGUAGAGAUUGGAAAGAACACCGAUGGCGGAGGCACUUUACUGGGCUAUAACUGACACUCAGAGACGAAAGCUAGGGUAGCAAAUGGGAUUAGAUACCCCAGUAGUC
This 425-nucleotide ribosomal RNA is filed under the name uncultured cyanobacterium. RNAcentral's name for it is "bacterial SSU rRNA". It matches the Rfam family "Bacterial small subunit ribosomal RNA", at positions 356 to 795 of the family's 1533-position model. The record is from RNAcentral. Lineage: Bacteria; Bacillati; Cyanobacteriota.